UGCAAGUCGAGCGGACAGAUGGGAGCUUGCUCCCUGAUGUUAGCGGCGGACGGGUGAGUAACACGUGGGUAACCUGCCUGUAAGACUGGGAUAACUCCGGGAAACCGGGGCUAAUACCGGAUGGUUGUUUGAACCGCAUGGUUCAGACAUAAAAGGUGGCUUCGGCUACCACUUACAGAUGGACCCGCGGCGCAUUAGCUAGUUGGUGAGGUAACGGCUCACCAAGGCGACGAUGCGUAGCCGACCUGAGAGGGUGAUCGGCCACACUGGGACUGAGACACGGCCCAGACUCCUACGGGAGGCAGCAGUAGGGAAUCUUCCGCAAUGGACGAAAGUCUGACGGAGCAACGCCGCGUGAGUGAUGAAGGUUUUCGGAUCGUAAAGCUCUGUUGUUAGGGAAGAACAAGUGCCGUUCAAAUAGGGCGGCACCUUGACGGUACCUAACCAGAAAGCCACGGCUAACUACGUGCCAGCAGCCGCGGUAAUACGUAGGUGGCAAGCGUUGUCCGGAAUUAUUGGGCGUAAAGGGCUCGCAGGCGGUUUCUUAAGUCUGAUGUGAAAGCCCCCGGCUCAACCGGGGAGGGUCAUUGGAAACUGGGGAACUUGAGUGCAGAAGAGGAGAGUGGAAUUCCACGUGUAGCGGUGAAAUGCGUAGAGAUGUGGAGGAACACCAGUGGCGAAGGCGACUCUCUGGUCUGUAACUGACGCUGAGGAGCGAAAGCGUGGGGAGCGAACAGGAUUAGAUACCCUGGUAGUCCACGCCGUAAACGAUGAGUGCUAAGUGUUAGGGGGUUUCCGCCCCUUAGUGCUGCAGCUAACGCAUUAAGCACUCCGCC
RNAcentral lists this ribosomal RNA (836 nucleotides) under Bacillus amyloliquefaciens. RNAcentral's name for it is "bacterial SSU rRNA". It matches the Rfam family "Bacterial small subunit ribosomal RNA", at positions 56 to 873 of the family's 1533-position model. Lineage: Bacteria; Bacillati; Bacillota; Bacilli; Caryophanales; Bacillaceae. The record is from RNAcentral.